Molecule: long non-coding RNA, 927 nt
Organism: Bactrocera neohumeralis
Lineage: Eukaryota; Metazoa; Arthropoda; Insecta; Diptera; Tephritidae
Exons: 3
Source: RefSeq, a predicted model, not a curated record
UUCAACGAGCCCGAAAGCGUACAAACUUUUACGGAGAAACAACUUUCCUCUUCCAGGUGUGCACACUCUGCAAUGGUGGUCAAAGAAAAUUGACGUAGCUCUAGGUGUCAUAGAGCCGGUGAUGAAACUUUUGAAGGUAGCAACUGAGCUAACACAAGCGCAAAAAAUUUGUGUACUCAGUUUUGACGGCAUGAAGGUCAGAAGGAGUUACUGUUACGAUAGAUCCACUGAUUCGACAUUGCCUCCUGUUAACUACGUUCAGGUUGCAAUGAUAAGAGUAAAUGGAAACAGCUUGUGUUCUUCGAAUAUGACUGCAAAAUGACGAAGGAAGUACUAUUUAGCAUUUUGUCAAGCGUUAAAAAGUGCGGUUACAAUAUUGUUGCCAUUGUAAGCGAUUUGGGUGGAUCAAAUAGAGGCUUAUAUGUAUAAUGAUCUUGAAAUUAAUGUGGAAAAACCGUUGUACAUUCACUAAACAAUUAUUUAAAUUAUGAUAUACUUUAAAUUGUGUUCUUUUUUUUCUAUUGCAGGUUUUCACACAACGGAGACAGGAUUGUAGUUUUUGCUGAUGUCCCCCACUUAAUAAAACUACAGAGAAAUCAUUUUUUGGAUAAAGGCUUUACUAUCAAUGGAAAAAUUGUUAGAAAAGACAUUAUUCUGAAGCUGCUCUCGCUUACGUCCAACGAGCUGUCCAUCACGCACAAAAUUUCCCAGAAGCAUUUGUCUGUAACAGGAACUGAAAGGCAAAAGGUUAAACUAGCCACAAAAUUGUUCUCCCACACAAUUGCUCAAGCAAUAACUCGAGCGGCUAGUUUAGGUCUACUAGAUAACGAAAAUUGGGAGGAAUGCCAUCGACUUUUCAAAAUUACAAAUGACUGGUUUGAUCUAAUGAAUGUCAGGGUGCCCAAAGUUGGAGUGAGGGAACGGUUU